CAUUCUGGAAUAAAGCAAAAGAGUGUUCCUUCACAGACACAGUAGCUUCAGAUCUGUUCAAUCUGUUUGUUCUCAGGUAGUUUUCUAAUGAUGGAAAAAAAUGACUUUGGUCAUCAAACUACUGUGGCCACAUUAGAUUACCGGAACAUCUAAGCAUCAGUGUGUGACCAUGCGAACGAAAGACUUCGGGGAGUGUCUGUUUUUAAAAAGGUUUCUGUGUGUCGAGGCAGUUGUAAAAGAUUUACUGCAGAAUCAAGCCCACUUUUAGGCUUAGGACCAGGUUCUAACUAUCUAAAAAUAUUCACUGAUAACAAAAAGUGUUCCAAAUAUAGCUAUUCUGAUUCAUAGUUGUUUUUUAAGGAAAAAAAAAGUAUAUACAGAAAGACUAUAAAAGUUUUUGUGAAUUUAAUGCAAAUUAGCUUCCAGUCUUCACUUCCCAAAUACUUGAUUUACAGUUUUGACUCCUUUACAUUUUUGCCUUUUUAAUUUCAAGAUUUGUAAUUUUGCCUUCAAAACAGAUCUUUUUUUAAAUUGUAAAAAGUAUUCAACAUAUGCAGAAAUAAAAAGCAUUUUGAUGGCCGGGCACGGUGGCUCAUGCCUGUAAUCCCAGCACUUUGAGAGGCUGAGGUG
Molecule: long non-coding RNA, 630 nt
Filed under: Homo sapiens (human)
Lineage: Eukaryota; Metazoa; Chordata; Mammalia; Primates; Hominidae
Description: HSALNT0381441
Source: RNAcentral